GAGUUUGAUCCUGGCUCAGGACGAACGCUGGCGGCGUGCUUAACACAUGCAAGUCGAACGAUGAAGCGCAGUUUGCUGCGUGGAUUAGUGGCGAACGGGUGAGUAACACGUGAGUAACCUGCCCUCCACUCUGGGAUAACUCCGGGAAACCGGUGCUAAUACUGGAUAUGACACCUUCCUGCAUGGGUUGGUGUGGAAAGAUUUAUCGGUGGUGGAUGGACUCGCGGCCUAUCAGCUUGUUGGUGGGGUAAUGGCCUACCAAGGCGACGACGGGUAGCCGGCCUGAGAGGGUGACCGGCCACACUGGGACUGAGACACGGCCCAGACUCCUACGGGAGGCAGCAGUGGGGAAUAUUGCACAAUGGGCGAAAGCCUGAUGCAGCGACGCCGCGUGCGGGAUGACGGCCUUCGGGUUGUAAACCGCUUUCAGCUCUGACGAAGCUUUUGUGACGGUAGGAGCAGAAGAAGCACCGGCUAACUACGUGCCAGCAGCCGCGGUA
RNAcentral lists this ribosomal RNA (500 nucleotides) under uncultured bacterium. Its description in RNAcentral is "bacterial SSU rRNA". It matches the Rfam family "Bacterial small subunit ribosomal RNA", at positions 9 to 522 of the family's 1533-position model. The record is from RNAcentral.